Molecule: ribosomal RNA, 427 nt
Filed under: uncultured bacterium
Lineage: Bacteria
Description: partial 16S ribosomal RNA
Rfam family: Bacterial small subunit ribosomal RNA
Source: RNAcentral
GUGGGGAAUAUUGCGCAAUGGGGGAAACCCUGACGCAGCAAUACCGCGUGAGUGAAGAAGGUUUUCGGAUCGUAAAACUCUUUUAUUGGGGAAGAAGAAGUGACGGUACCCAAUGAAGAAGUCCCGGCUAACUACGUGCCAGCGGCCGCGGUAAUACGUAGGGGACAAGCGUUGUCCGGAAUCACUGGGCGUAAAGGGCGCGUAGGCGGUUUUAUAAGUCAGAUGUGAAAGGUACCGGCUCAACCGGUGACGUGCAUUUGAAACUGUAAGACUUGAGUACUGGAGAGGCAAGUGGAAUUCCUAGUGUAGCGGUGAAAUGCGUAGAUAUUAGGAGGAACACCGGUGGCGAAGGCGGCUUGCUGGACAGAUACUGACGCUGAGGUGCGAAAGCGUGGGGAGCGAACAGGAUUAGAAACCCUAGUAGUCC